GAGCAGUGGAGUCUACAAGACAUUUUUUUCACAUGAAACACAUGCAAAAAAAGAAAAUUCACCUGUGAAGAGAGUCUCUGUUCUGUGGCCUCUCUGGAAGACAUUUUGGGUUCCAAUCAUGUGUGGGGGAGCAUGUCAAUUCAUGAAAGAUAUGAUAUCAUUCGUUAAUCCAUACAUUUUGAGUACAAUCAGUCCUGCAGUUUUUUACUUGAUUGAGUAAAACACACACACAAACACAAAAACAAAAUACAGUCACCUGCGAAGACAAUCUCUGUUCUGUAGCCUCUCUGGAAGACAUUUAGAGUGCCACUCAUGUGUGGGGAAACAUGUCAAGUCAUGAAAGAUGUGAUAUCAUUCGUUAAUCCAUACAUUUUAAGUUUGAUGAUCCAGUUUGUGGACAGUGAAGAAUACAUGUGGAGAGGGUUCGUCUAUGCAAUCAGCAUGUUCAUUACAGCAGAGCUUCAAUCUGUCCUUGCCCACCAGAAUCUCAUGACCAUGCUCAGGGUUGGUCUCAACAGCAGGACUGCAAUCAUGUGUGCAGUU
Molecule: long non-coding RNA, 543 nt
Organism: Homalodisca vitripennis (glassy-winged sharpshooter)
Lineage: Eukaryota; Metazoa; Arthropoda; Insecta; Hemiptera; Cicadellidae
Exons: 3
Source: RefSeq, a predicted model, not a curated record